Molecule: ribosomal RNA, 1372 nt
Filed under: uncultured bacterium
Lineage: Bacteria
Description: bacterial SSU rRNA
Rfam family: Bacterial small subunit ribosomal RNA
Source: RNAcentral
GAUGAACGCUGGCGGCGUGCCUAAUACAUGCAAGUCGAGCGAACGGACGAGAAGCUUGCUUCUCUGAUGUUAGCGGCGGACGGGUGAGUAACACGUGGAUAACCUACCUAUAAGACUGGGAUAACUUCGGGAAACCGGAGCUAAUACCGGAUAAUAUUUUGAACCGCAUGGUUCAAAAGUGAAAGACGGUCUUGCUGUCACUUAUAGAUGGAUCCGCGCUGCAUUAGCUAGUUGGUAAGGUAACGGCUUACCAAGGCAACGAUGCAUAGCCGACCUGAGAGGGUGAUCGGCCACACUGGAACUGAGACACGGUCCAGACUCCUACGGGAGGCAGCAGUAGGGAAUCUUCCGCAAUGGGCGAAAGCCUGACGGAGCAACGCCGCGUGAGUGAUGAAGGUCUUCGGAUCGUAAAACUCUGUUAUUAGGGAAGAACAUAUGUGUAAGUAACUGUGCACAUCUUGACGGUACCUAAUCAGAAAGCCACGGCUAACUACGUGCCAGCAGCCGCGGUAAUACGUAGGUGGCAAGCGUUAUCCGGAAUUAUUGGGCGUAAAGCGCGCGUAGGCGGUUUUUUAAGUCUGAUGUGAAAGCCCACGGCUCAACCGUGGAGGGUCAUUGGAAACUGGAAAACUUGAGUGCAGAAGAGGGAAGUGGAAUUCCAUGUGUAGCGGUGAAAUGCGCAGAGAUAUGGAGGAACACCAGUGGCGAAGGCGACUUUCUGGUCUGUAACUGACGCUGAUGUGCGAAAGCGUGGGGAUCAAACAGGAUUAGAUACCCUGGUAGUCCACGCCGUAAACGAUGAGUGCUAAGUGUUAGGGGGUUUCCGCCCCUUAGUGCUGCAGCUAACGCAUUAAGCACUCCGCCUGGGGAGUACGACCGCAAGGUUGAAACUCAAAGGAAUUGACGGGGACCCGCACAAGCGGUGGAGCAUGUGGUUUAAUUCGAAGCAACGCGAAGAACCUUACCAAAUCUUGACAUCCUUUGACAACUCUAGAGAUAGAGCCUUCCCCUUCGGGGGACAAAGUGACAGGUGGUGCAUGGUUGUCGUCAGCUCGUGUCGUGAGAUGUUGGGUUAAGUCCCGCAACGAGCGCAACCCUUAAGCUUAGUUGCCAUCAUUAAGUUGGGCACUCUAAGUUGACUGCCGGUGACAAACCGGAGGAAGGUGGGGAUGACGUCAAAUCAUCAUGCCCCUUAUGAUUUGGGCUACACACGUGCUACAAUGGACAAUACAAAGGGCAGCGAAACCGCGAGGUCAAGCAAAUCCCAUAAAGUUGUUCUCAGUUCGGAUUGUAGUCUGCAACUCGACUACGUGAAGCUGGAAUCGCUAGUAAUCGUAGAUCAGCAUGCUACGGUGAAUACGUUCCCGGGUCU